UACGAAGGGGGCUAGCGUUGCUCAGAAUCACUGGGCGUAAAGCGCACGUAGGCGGCUUUCUAAGUCAGGGGUGAAAUCCUGGAGCUCAACUCCAGAACUGCCUUUGAUACUGGAGAGCUUGAGUCCGGAAGAGGUGAGUGGAACUCCGAGUGUAGAGGUGAAAUUCGUAGAUAUUCGGAAGAACACCAGUGGCGAAGGCGGCUCACUGGUCCGGUACUGACGCUGAUGUGCGAAAGCGUGGGGAGCAAACAGG
RNAcentral lists this ribosomal RNA (253 nucleotides) under uncultured bacterium. Its description in RNAcentral is "partial 16S ribosomal RNA". It matches the Rfam family "Bacterial small subunit ribosomal RNA", at positions 524 to 776 of the family's 1533-position model. The record is from RNAcentral.